GUGGACCUCCGGAUCAGGGAGGAAUACCCCGCUGAACUUAAGCAUAUCAAUAAGCGGGAGG
Molecule: ribosomal RNA, 61 nt
Filed under: Colletotrichum truncatum
Lineage: Eukaryota; Fungi; Ascomycota; Sordariomycetes; Glomerellales; Glomerellaceae
Description: partial 28S ribosomal RNA
Source: RNAcentral